This 427-nucleotide ribosomal RNA is filed under the name uncultured bacterium. Its description in RNAcentral is "partial 16S ribosomal RNA". It matches the Rfam family "Bacterial small subunit ribosomal RNA", at positions 355 to 774 of the family's 1533-position model. The record is from RNAcentral.
UGGGGAAUAUUGCACAAUGGGCGCAAGCCUGAUGCAACCAUGCCGCGUGUGUGAAGAAGGCCUUCGGGUUGUAAAGCACUUUCAGCGAGGAGGAAGGGUGGUGUGUUAAUAGCACAUUGCAUUGACGUUACUCGCAGAAGAAGCACCGGCUAACUCCGUGCCAGCAGCCGCGGUAAUACGGAGGGUGCAAGCGUUAAUCGGAAUUACUGGGCGUAAAGCGCACGCAGGCGGUUUGUUAAGUCAGAUGUGAAAUCCCCGCGCUUAACGUGGGAACUGCAUUUGAAACUGGCAAGCUAGAGUCUUGUAGAGGGGGGUAGAAUUCCAGGUGUAGCGGUGAAAUGCGUAGAGAUCUGGAGGAAUACCGGUGGCGAAGGCGGCCCCCUGGACAAAGACUGACGCUCAGGUGCGAAAGCGUGGGGAGCAAACA